GGCUGGGCCAGGCCCACUCGCUGCCGACAGUGACAGUCAGCUGUGAUCUUCCAUCAGCUGCGCCUCAUUAUCCUGUCAGGGCUCCCUCUGCCCAUCGAUGGGAAACAAUGUGUAAUCACUUCCCACUGAUUGCAAAUCACGCUGCUCGGCCCACCACCACGUGGCCCAGACUGCCAAGCGGUCCCUGGGCCCUGGGACCCCUGGCUGCCUCCCCAGGGGGGCUCCGGGAGCUUGGAGCACAGUGGCCACCCUAGCCCUACCCUACCCUAUCUCUACCCUACUCUCCCAGGUAGAGUGGGAGAGAAGGGUGAGGUUACAGAAGGGGUGGCUGAUCACAGACCCCACGGAAUGACGGAGUCAGGUUCAGAACAGCUACUUUGUGGGAUUUAUUUCGGGGACAGAGAAGGGGCCAACUCUCCUCCCUUCAGGGAAAACCACAUGGGUUCUAUGAUUCUGGAAUGAAUACUUGGCUGGGGGGUAGGGACCACGUUUUAAAAACAGAACAUUCUUACUGCAGCACUCAGGCACUGAAGGCCUUAGGUCUGAUUCAAGUCCUCAUCUUGACAGGGACUCCCUGUGUGACACUGGGCGAGUCACCUAAUCGCUCUUGGUCUCAAUGUUCUCGUCUGUAAAAUGGGAAUGACAGCCGUAUCAAGCAUUUAGAGAUGUCUUCCUAAUUCAACGAGAUAAUAAAUGCAAAAUCUUUAAGACUCACUGAAUACCAGUUGUUGGUAUUUUUAAUGCAAUUUGACAUACAACCUGACUGUCCAUCAACAGAGGAAUGGAUAAAGAAGAUGCAGUACAUAUAUACAUAAUGGAACACUACUCCGCCAUAAAAAAGAAUGAAAUAAUGCCAUCUGCAGCAACAAGGAUGGACCUAGAGAUGAUGAUACUAAGUGAAGUCAGUCAGAAAAAGACAAAUACCAUAUGAUAUCACUUACGUGUGAACGCUGAAAUAUGACACAAACGACCUUACCUAUGAAACAGACAUAGGCAGAGAAGAACACACUUGUGGUUGCCAAGGAGGAGGGGGUUGGGGAGGGAUGGAGUGGGAGUUUGGGGUUAGCAGAUGCAAACUAGUAUCUAUUGAAUGGAUAAACAACAAAGUCCUACUGCAUAGCGGCGGGAACCAUAUCCAGUAUUCUAUGAUAAACCGCAAUGGAAAAGAAAAAAAUAAUUUGAGGUUGAUGCAGAGUUCAUUUCCCAACACUGCUCUCCCUCCACCUAAAGGAAGACGUAUCUGUGGCAGGAAAAUCACAGGUUCCAAAUGUUUUCUUCUACCGGAAACGAUGCUCAUCCUACCAGGGCACGAGAGGGGCAGAUGCAUGUGGUCGAAUCCCUGCUGGCAGGGCGUUUCGAGAUCCUGAAGCGCGUCUGCACAGAGCGGUGAGGUCGUUCAUCCUGGCUGCACAUUAGCAUCACCUGGAGAACUUGAAAAGCUAUUCACGACCCGUCCCUCUAUCCGAGACCAAGCACAUCAGAAUUUCCUGCGGCGAGGCCUUGGCCUCUUCCCCUUCCUCUUCCCCUCCUGCCAGGUGAGCUGAACGUACGGCCAGAGUCAGCGUUUCAGCAGCUAAGAGGGAGAGAUGCUGCCAUCAUAAAGGUGUGUCGAAACGGAGCGCUUUCUGCACACCUGUGAUGGGGCGAAGAAUCUCUCCUCUUCCUCCUUCCUUUCCUCCUUCUCCCCUCCGUCCUCCUCCUCUCCAUCCUCCUCCUCUUCCUCUGAGGCCGGGUUGAGUCAUCAUUCUGGAAACCUUCUCCAGCUCUUCCUCGGGAGGGAGACGCCUGCGUGGAAUGCUUCCCGACUUAACCCUUUUCUGGUGCUAAAGAUCGCCCAAGAGUCGGGACAAGAGGGGACAGGCUAUGGUUACCCUGAUUACUCUCUGCUGGACAGCCCAGGAAGGGCAGAGUCACGGACACGGCCCGGCCUUCCUGCAGGCAUCCAGAAAGCUCAUAGGAACCCAGGUAAGAACACAAUGGAUGUGUGGGCAGUGGACCUGAAUCUAGCAACUUCGCUCCACCUAUACACUACAAAAUUUACGAGCAACCCAGAAAGAUCCUUCAGCAAUAAUUCCUACAUGGGCUCAACUUCUAGGUGCAGCCAGCUUUCCUUUAGACGUGCAGGGCCUCUGUGGACACCGUGGAUGGCAUGGGCAUACAAGAACUGAGAAACGCAUGCCCUGUCUUGUCACCAACAAAAGUGCCCCGAGACACCAAGCUUCACACACGCAGGACCAGAGUUCCCCUCAUACUCGGAGCAGCAGCUAGGGCAUCACAGCUGUUUUCCACGGCUCUUCCUGCAGCGUGUACAUGCACGCAGAAAUGGCCCUUAGGAGUCAAGGGGCCUUCUUCUUAUUUGCUUUUCUACAAGAUAACUUUCCCAAAAGAGCACUGGAGUUAGGAGGAGGAAGUCAGAGUUACAGGUGCAGCCAGAGUCCUGAUGGAGCCCCGAGUCAUCUGACUUACAGGGAUGAAUCUUUUGAGGCCGGCAGAGGGGCUGAGGAGGGUCAGGCUUGGCUGUUCAUGGCCACGGGCUGCUGAUUUAUAACCUCAGAAUGGGCUCCAGGUUGGAGCGAAUGCUUGAUUGAAUACUGCAUCUACCACAGGCCUCCCUCCAGGAUGCCUGCUUCCAGCCUCAGGAUGAGGGGACAGUGGGCUUCCCUGUGGUGGGUGGAGCUCCUUCUGGAGCGGGUUUAGAGCCCACCUGACCCUGGACACCAGGUACCUCCUGAAGAAGAGCUAGAAAUAAAGCAUCAACAGAGAUGUCAGAGCUUCCUGUAACACGACCUCUCUCUCCAUCACGGAGAGGUCACUGGAUAAGAAGACGGAGCUGUCGUCUGUGUAAGGACCGCACAAUAUGACUGCUUGGUGAAUACUCUGGCGGAAACCUGUACCACAUCCUUUGAUUCAUUUUCCUUCUUUGGUUCUUGUAAGAACAGAGACUCUACUGAGUGAGGACAGAGAGCCGGCCACUGUGGGACAUCAGGGCUGUGCGGACACUGUGUACAGGGAUGCAUCAACAGCCCUCAGAAGGAGUAUCAUUAUCUUCUGUGCGCUAUGAAGAAACUGAGUCUCAGCGAAGGUGAAUGAGAGAGCGGGGAUGGAGCCAAUCUUAAAUCUGUGAAACCGCUUCAUUUCUGAAUGGAACAGGUAAAGUCGAAACAAAUCAAACACACUUCCACUUCCUGACAGUGCGUGAGGGACCAUCAUUCAUUUUGCAGGUGGGACCCUUCUAGACACCGCUAAAGAGAAUGUGCUUCUCCUUUACUCCCAGCCAAGGUCACUGGAUCCGGGGCUGCGACAUGGGGGUGGGACCCUGUCCUUGGUCGUCGCUGCCUGCUGGCGGCUGGACAGAGCCUGGUGCUUCUUUCCAGGAUGGUGCGAGGCCACCUUCUUUUGCCCCCCAGCCAUCCUAGAAGGUUGGCGCCUGUUUUAGCUGCACAACAAAUGGAUAUUUUUGGCUUCAAGGGGGCUGAGUAACUUCCCUAUCAGCACAAACGUCAUGAGAAAGGGGGCAGGAUUUGAAAAGAGCCACCUCGGUCCCAUUUCCAAAGUCUGUGCACGUUCCCAUCUGCCACCUGGCUCCACAGGUACCUUCUGAGCCCCCCUGUCUUCAUCUGUGGAGUAGGAACUGAGGGCAUCUUCUUUGUGCUCUUCCUGUGCUGCUGCGUGUGUGACACAUAAUAUUCUACACAAUGAGGCCUAGUGCAUCACUGGACAAGUGGCUGGAAAGCGUACAUGCUAACUGCUAUGAAAUCAGAGUCUCAUUUCCAAGGCGCUUUAAGUUGUGCGUCUCCAGCACAGCUUCUUGGGUCAAAUGGGGACUUAAAGAAAACCUGAGUACAUUUUGAUUGGAUACUUUAAAACGAGAGCUAGGCACGAUGGAGGGCAUUUUGGCCAAUUCUGGCCAAAUCUUGCGCUGUGUGUCUCCAGUUAAAGUCUAACCUUGAUCCCACAGAAAUGCUAUUUUCUAUAGAAUAUGGAUUUGAUUUCCUUAAACACUUAAAUGAUGUCUCCAUUAUGAAAAUAGCAAAGAGCUAUUCCUUGCUUCCCUUCACUGAAUAACUUUUGAUGUGAGCUAACAGGCUUAUCUCUCUGUUCCCAACAUCUGGGCAACCUUUAACCCCUACCCUAUCAGAAAUAACUUGGGAGAUUUGAAGGAAAAUAAACCAACCAGCAAAAAUGGUUGCCUGACCCUAAGCCAAGAAUUUUUGAAUUGUGUGGGUUUAACAAGUUCUUAAAAACAACUAUUGUUGCGUUCUCUAGGUAAUGUACAGCCAAGAAUAAGAAACAGCAUUCCACCAAGCUAAACCUCUUCAGCUUUGCAAGACUCCCAUUCCUCCUCAGGGCCUUUGCACAUGCUGUUCCCUCUUCCGAGGACUCUGUUCCCUUUAGGCUUCACUUAAUUAGGUCAUACUCAUCCAUCGGUCUCAGUAUAAUAUGUCUUUCCAUGAGAAACCUCCCCCUCCUGUAGUGAGCAGACCCUAGGGAGGCCCCCAUGAUUCCUGCUCCUGGUGUAUAACCCCUUUGCUUGAGUAUAGACAGAACCCGUGACUUGCUGCUGGCCAACAGACUACAUGCAAAAGGGGAAGUGAUUUUGAAGAUAUGAUAAUAAGGUCCUAAAUCUGAUGAUUUUAAGUUAAGAGGUAAUUAUCUUGCUGUUCAGGGCUUGGCUUAAUCAGGUGAAAAACUGCAAGAGAGGGCUCAGACCUUCCUUGAGAGGUUUGAUGUAAUGAGUGGCCACAACCACAUCUUCAUGUCCGGGAACUGUGGGCUGACUCUAGGACCUAAGCGUGACUCCAGCCAAUAAAGUCGAGAACGCUCAAUCAUUCAACCACAGGGAGAUCCAUUCUGUCAGUUACUUGGAUGAGCUGAGACGUGGACUGUUCUCCAUCUGAGCCUCCACAUGAGAACACAGCCCAGCCAAGCCCUUGAUCACUAUCUUGCAAGACCCCGAGCAGAGGGCCCAGAUAAAGUGAACCCGGAUGCCUGACCUACACACACUAUGAAAUAAUACAUGUGCGUUGCUUUAAGACCCUAAGUUUGUGGUUAUGCUACAGUAGAAACACAAACACUUCCCUGACUCUCCCCUCAUAAAUGUUUUCUUGGACUCCUGACACUCUUUGCAACCUUAGCACAUGUCUGAAUACUGUGUCCAAUUCUGUCUCCCCAGGAGACUGCAGGCUUGAUGAGGGCAGGGCCCCUGCCUGUCUUACUUGCUCACUGCUUUGCCCUGGCGCCUCACUGAUGCUUGGUGUGCAUGCAGUAGGCUCUCAAUAGAUGCCACUGAAUGGAUGAAUGCGUGCACAAGCCAAGCAAUCAGGCUGUGCCCCCACUUCGGUCUUUCUACUGAGCCCCAUCCACAUCCUCCUCCCGGUGCCCCUUCUGGCGUUUUCUCUGCACAAGAGCAGAGCUCGCCACACUCUGGCUCCGAGGCCGAAGCUACCCUGACACCUAACAUCUGUCCAGUUCAUGCCGCCCAUGAGGUGAAAGUUGUUUUCACGUGUUAAAACGCUUAGAAAAAAAUUUUUAAAUACUGAUAUUUCAUGAAGCUUGAAGAUUCUAAGAAAUUCAAAAUUCAGUGUCUGCACAUCAAGUUUUACUGGUGCAGAGCCACGUCUUACUUGUUUACCCACUGCCUGUGCUGGUUCUCUUACUACAAUGGCUGAGGUGGGAAGUUGUGACAGUGAUGACACAGGCCACAGAGACUGAAAUAUUUACUAUUUGGCCCUUUAGAGUAAAAAUGUGUCAACCUCUAAUGGAGAGUUUGGGAACCAUGGAUGGAGACGGUAGAGUCAGAAGCAGAAGGAUGCUUGCCUGGCACUCAGGCGUAGGCGCUUCAGGGCAUAGAGUCUGACGUCUCUGGCUGAGCUGCCUGGGCAAUACCCAGGCAGUGACAUCAGCAUAUCGUCACAUACGGUCAGCGGAAAGGUGUCUUAAGGUUCCGUAAGACAUUUCCUGAAGCCCUUCAGAAAUUACUGGGGCCGAGUCUAGAAAGGUCUGAAGGCCUGUAGCAUAUGCCAAUGGAGAUGAACCAGCAAAAAUUUGGCUCGAGAGUCAUGUGACUCCACUGGAAGCCACUGUUGGGUGCAGAAUGGGGACAAGCCCCCCUCUGAGGGCAUCACUAAGACACCCUGCCUGCUGGCCACAGACCCGGCAGCUCAGAAACACGGCCCCCAUCGACAGGCCCAAGAUGGAUCUGAAAGAAGGGGCGAUUUUCAGAAAUGUGACAUCCAGGUGAGACGCUAUCCGAAAUAGCCACCAAAAUAAAUCAGAACUAAUGUCUGUUCUUAUGCAUUUUCUUGAUAUUUUAAGUUGUCUGCAUGCUUUUCCUGAAUACCGAAGUAACGUGCAGUUACCGUGGAAAAUGCAGAACAUUACAGAAAAAUCUAAAUGAUUAUAAUCUCACCGCCCGGAAGUAAUUAUUUUUUUAACUUCUGGGCUAUUUCCUUUCUGUCUCUUUAAUUUUUCUGUUUUCUUCCUUUCUUCCCAUUUUUUCUCUCCCCCCUUUCUUUUCUCCUCUCCUGCUCCCCCUCCUACUGUUUGCAGAGGCAAGAUCCUUUCUGUCUAAAUGUGACGUUUCUGGUUUUCUUGCCUGUAACAGCACAUGCAAUUCUAAGACGAUUGAAAAUUGUGGACCAAUACUUUUCAGCGAGGGGAGGGGGUGAUUCUGCCCACAGGGCCCACUGGGCAACCUCUAGAGAGGUUUCUGGCUGUCUCAUUUGGGGCGGGGGGGGGGGGAUGCUUUUAAACAUCCCACAAUGCACAGGGCAGUUCCCACAACAAAGAGGGAGCCAGUUCCCUGUGUUGAGAGAGUGUUGAUGUUGAGAAAGUUGGCUAUAGAGGUAAUUUUUGACGGUUGCAUAUUGUUCUAUUGUUUAAAAACUUUUUAUUUAUUUAAACACCAGUCCUCCAAUUCUGAAUAUUUAUUUUGAUGUUUUUAACCCAAGACCAAUAACUCCCGUAGCAGGGGUUCGACGAGAACAUUGCUGUACGUACGGGGUGAACAAAGCUCAUCAAGGCCUGGUGGUGGGAAGCAUGGCCCGGUUUUUCUGCACAACAUUCAACCCCGACUUCUCCUUCCAUCUCGUCGCAUGUCCUCUGUGAAGGAUCAAGGCAGGGGCUGAGACAGCAGAGGUCAAGUCACGUUGUCGCUUUUGCGGUGUUCUGCUAGCAUCACAGGGAUGCCCGUGACACUGGCGUGAGAACAUGACUGUUCUGUUCCAUUGGCCACCGGAGAACAGAAGGGCACGUGUGCCGGCACGGACUGCGUGGCUCAGAUCACAGACGGGGAGGCUGAGGCCCGGAAGAAAACGGCUCCACUCUUUUUUCUAUCUCCUGACCUAUCAGCCACAAGCAAGGGCCGCUGUCUCUGUGGCCACUGCGCCAGCCCUUGGCUGAGCCGGGGAGGAAGCCUGCAGAGACCUCGCGGCCCUGCUGUGGGGCAGGGGUGGGACUCCCGGCCACAGUGAGUGUGGAGCUCCCAUAGGGCUUCUGGGAAGAAGCCUGAGGCGCUGCUUGACCCGCUGUGGUCCCCUGAGCUGGAAUUCUUCCCGAUGGCCUCACGGUGGCCUUGGACCACCUGCAUCCCAAGCCCUGGGACUCUCUUAACCUUCAGAGGCCCCCCUGCACAGGCCAGCUGUCGCACAGCAGCUUUCUUGCAGAUUCUCAGGCUGGAACAGGAGCAGCACUGGGCCAGAUGAGGGCUCAACAAAUGUUCUCUCUAAAGGGCGGGGCAGGCAUAUUCCAGGCUUUGGAUGCCCCAGGGCCCUGGGGCCCUGCAGCAUGACAGCAGCUGUGGACAGUCUGUGAGUGGGUUUGUCGCUCACGGACCUCUGGGCUGGACCGCUGGGUCGACCCUGAGGGCCUGGAGUCGGAACCCUGCGUAAGUUGGUCUCCUUUACUCUCAUCUGAUGAGGGGAGACUCUGCAUGAGACCUGGGAGACCUGCUGGCAGCUGUGGGGUGAGGGCAGGCUCUGCACUCAUCAGGCUGUAGCACUGCCAGGCCCCUACCUUCCAGGAACUCAGUUUCCCCAUCUCAUACCAGUUGAUCCCUCCGCCCUCGAGCAGCCUCUUUCUCUGCCAUCUGCCGCCUCCACCACCUCUGCUGCCACCUGUCCAGGCCUCCGAAUGGAGGGGGGCAGCGGCGGAGCAGCGGCCUCCCCUGCAGCUCCAGCUUCUCAGCUUCUCGGCACAGGCCAGUGCUCCAGGGGCCAAGAGUGAGGCAGAGGGUGGAAUCGAGACCUGCUCUGCUCUCAACCCCUCUCCAGGUGCUGCCCUCCACGGGCCAGCCAGUCGGGGCUGGAGGCCCUGGCAGCUCCAGAGGGAGGGGCAGCCCCCUCCAGGCCCCUCCCCCCCUUGGUGGCGCUUGAUGGGCAGGGUCGGCGGGUGCCCCCCCUGCCCUGGGGUGCCUGCUCCAUCUUCACCUGCCCGUCCUUGUUCACAUGGCCCAGCAGCCCCAGGCCAAUACCUCUGUGUCUCAGUUCUGUUUCCUGUAUCCUCCCCUCCCCCGGAACACCGUGGGGCUGCCUUGUCCAACUGGCAGACUCCCACUUGUCUCCCAUGGGUCACUGCCUCCGAGAAGCCUUCUGUGGAUCCUGAGGAGGCUUCUUCCCCUCCUCCCGGAUGCCAGCACCUCCUGCACAGCCCUCCUCUUGACCACCUCUCUGCGGUGGUUGCUUUUUUUUUUUUUUUUUUUUUUUGGUCUUUUGUUUUUUGUCCUUUU
Molecule: non-coding RNA, 8725 nt
Organism: Sus scrofa (pig)
Lineage: Eukaryota; Metazoa; Chordata; Mammalia; Artiodactyla; Suidae
Source: RefSeq, a predicted model, not a curated record